UGUAAUGACAAGCCGAAUCUCCAUAAAGGAGUACGGGGGAUAUCCAUUGGGGUGAAUCUUUAUUUUAAAGAAGGGUACCUCUUACCCUAACCCGUCAACUAACCUCGGAGGCAAAAGGAGGAAAUUU
This 127-nucleotide small RNA is filed under the name Clostridiales bacterium. RNAcentral describes it as "c-di-AMP sequence". It matches the Rfam family "c-di-AMP riboswitch aptamer (ydaO/yuaA leader)". Rfam says of the family: This family represents a conserved RNA structure found upstream of the ydaO and yuaA genes in Bacillus subtilis and related genes in other bacteria. The ydaO/yuaA element is thought to act as a genetic "off" switch for the ydaO and yuaA genes in its native state. It is believed that the element may be triggered during osmotic shock leading to activation of ydaO, a predicted amino acid transporter gene, and members of the yuaA-yubG operon which code for KtrA and KtrB K+ transporters. The record is from RNAcentral. Lineage: Bacteria; Bacillati; Bacillota; Clostridia; Eubacteriales.